Molecule: ribosomal RNA, 253 nt
Filed under: uncultured bacterium
Lineage: Bacteria
Description: partial 16S ribosomal RNA
Rfam family: Bacterial small subunit ribosomal RNA
Source: RNAcentral
UACCUAGGUGGCAAGCGUUGUCCGGAUUUACUGGGUGUAAAGGGCGUGUAGCCGGGCUGACAAGUCAGAUGUGAAAUCCAGGGGCUCAACCCCCGAACUGCAUUUGAAACUGUUGGUCUUGAGUAUCGGAGAGGCAGGCGGAAUUCCUAGUGUAGCGGUGAAAUGCGUAGAUAUUAGGAGGAACACCAGUGGCGAAGGCGGCCUGCUGGACGACAACUGACGGUGAGGCGCGAAAGCGUGGGGAGCAAACAGG